CCAACUUAUCAAGGCCUGAUACCAAUAUUACUUCUUGGAAGCUUUAACAUACUCAAUUUUUCAGGCUCAGUAAGGAUACCUGAUUAGCUUUAAUACUGUUGCAGCUCAAAACUGUCAAGCAAUCGACCAUGAGGAGGGGUUUUCAAGCAAGGUGUUCAUGAAACCAAGACCUAAAUUCCAUCUACUACAUGAUAUCAUUAUAUUUCUUGGACAUUGGGAAAUGGAAUUCAUCUUUUUAAAACUCAAAUAGAAGGACAGCAAGGUGGCUCAAUGGAUAGAGAGCCAGGCCUAGAGACAGGGGAUUCAGGGAUCAAGUCUCACCUCAGACACCUCCAAGCCAUGUGACUCGGGGCAACUCACUUAACCCUACUCCCCUACCCCUUACUGCUCUUCUGCCUUGGAACGAAUUCUUAGUAUUAAUUCUAGGAUGGAAAGUAAGGGUUAAAAAAAAACAAACAACCUCAAAUAGAAACCUUACUUGCUUUUACUCAUUUCCAACUAAGUAUAUAACUCGUUUUUUUUUCCAUACCUCAGUGGUGUUUAAAUUAAAGCUAACAUACAAAAUCGAACUGUUGAUUCAAAAGGCUUUCUCAGGAGAUGUUAAGUGAAGUCAGUAAAUAUUUUUUAGCUUAGUGUUGCUACAUUAAGUGAAAGGCUGCUAUCCUCACCUCCUACGUAAAUGUCUCUGCGCACAGUCUGCACAACAUGCAGAAGUAUUUAUUUAUUUAGGGAAGUGUGGUCUGGUGGUGAAGAGCUGUGGUCUGAGCACGAGACCUCCAGUCAGAAAGACUUCUUCUUCGACCUUGAGAGAGUGCCUUCUCACCAUGUUAAACUGCUUCUCCCCCCUCACAUCCCCAGUCAGUGGAAUAGUAACAGUGACAAAGAUCCUACCUGGGUUGUCUAAAUAAAUCAAGUCACUAAAUCUUUAUUAAAUAUCUACCAUACACCAGGUACUGUGCUGAGCACUAGAGAUACAAGACAUUCCCUGCCCUCAGAGAGCUCACCCUCAAAGACCAAAGCAACAUACAAAUGGUCAUGUACAAAUGACGAACAAAUAUGUAUUGAUUAUAUAUUAAUCGUCUACUAGGUGCCAGUCACUGUGCUAAGUAAUAGAUACAAAAAAAAAGGGCAAAAGAGUCCCUGCCCUCAAGUAAGUUACAAUCUAACGGAUAUAUAGGAUAAUAUUGAAGUACACAGUAUAAGUUGUAAAUUAUCUCUGAGAGAAGAUAUUAAUGAUGAGAUUUAUAUGACAUCCUAGAAAUCUUUAUGGAGAUAAAGAGACCAGAAAGAGCAUCGGAUCUGGAGUAAGAGAACCUACAUUCAAAUCCCAGCUUUGUUAAAGAUAUGUGUGGCCUAGAAGGAGGCACAUAACCUCUUUGGGUCUCUGUUUCCUUGAAUGUAAAAACAGGGGAUUGGACUAGAUGACCUCUGAAGUUUCUUCCAUCUCUAAGUAAAAGGCUCUUCCAUUCAAAAAUUGAGCAGGAUAUGUAUCUAUAUGUGUGUAGCUGAGAAUUACAAAAUAUGAAGUAACAAGAAGUUUGGGCUACUUCUCACGAGUUUGGACCCAUAAUUAGAAAGAAAACCUCCAAUGGUGAAUGAGGAAGGAUAAAGCAAAUGCCUGUUAAUGAGCCUCACGAGGAAGGCAGUCAGUGCCUAUCUAUGAAAGCCACAUUGUCUACUUCGAGAUGACUGUUUGUUACCACACUGUUACUUCUUCAGGCCAAACGCCUGGAGAUGGCAAGAAGAAUUAGCCAUGCCCAGUUUUGGCCUUCCAUACAUUCACGAGGACAAUGGAGGUCGUGGGGGCAAAGUUACUUCAUCUUGUGGCUCAGAGGGAGAACACAGGGAUAGUCCAUGCCUUAAAAUACUUACUCCAUAGAAUUCCCUCCCCCUCAGAUUAAUUAGGGCUGAGGAUUUGGCCACUUUGGGCACAAAUGUGUUUUCAUUCUGAAACACUCUUGGCAUCAGGACAAGAGAUGAUGAUUCAAUUGGAUCCUUCUCCUGCUUCUUUUUGAAGCUUUAUAUGGCCCUUGGAAUAUACUCCAGCUGGCUCCAAAGAUGCGGGGUGCCGUUUCUGUUGCUAAGACCUAUAAAUUUCACGUUUCUGUUGCUAAGACCUAUAAAUUUCACCCUGUAUGUCACAGCAUCUUGCAUUGUAACUGGCAGGAUUGAACAUGAAUCCUGUUAGUCAAGCCUAACCUUGUUGACCUAUAUUUCAUACUAUGAGAAGAACAAUAAUGGACAGGUAGGUCCUCUUGAGCCUGCUGGCAAUGCCCUCUAGGAUGACGUUUUAUGACUCUGGUGGAUUUUGCUAUCAGAAUUAAAGAGUUCUCUCCACGUCACUAAACCUAGAGACUAGCAACACACCCUUAGUGGGAUACCACAACUUUUGAGCUCUCUGACAAGGUGAAAAUCCUUUCAUAAUCAUUCUGGGCAGGGCAAGGAAUGGAUAAUGGUUGGUCAUAUUACACCCUCUAGGGUGGUAGAUGUCUCAAAUAUAAUUUGCAAUGGUUUCUUAUGUUACACAACAAUUUUUUAAAAUAAUGAAUGAAAGGACAUUGCUUUUUUUUUUUUUAAGUGCAGAAAAAUCCUGACCAAGGCAUGGUAUCGUAGAUGAUGACCCAAUCCUUAGAGAAUGAGCAAGAUGUCCUGUCUGGUUCCAAUCCACCUGGAGCUUAAUGAGCCUGCUUGGGGGCAUAAAAAAUAGUGGGGUUCUUCUCCCACUUCAGAGCAUGGGCAGAUAUCCUAUGACUGUUUCCUGAAGGCUUACUACAUGAGGAUAAAAAUUCUUUUAAUUGGUUAUUGGGCCAGAAUGGAAUAUGCAUGCAUAAGUAGGUUCAAGUAAAUCAUCUUGGGUUCUUUUUCCUGGAAGUUUUUUGAGUGAGGAAGAUUUCUGUAUGCUGCUACUAAAGAUGAGAGCAAAUUGUUCUAUCUCCCACCUACAUAGCAUGUAUCUAUGGUACCCACAUUUCUUUGAUCUCUUUUGUGUUUAUCCUUUUUUAUUCAGGGAUAAGUGAGUUUUUUUUAGAUAAAAGCAUCCAACUGACCAGUAAGAUCAAGAGAUCCUUCGAAGCUAUCCAGUGUCCCACCAACACCAUAUUCAGUUGACUGAUGGCAGUUGUAGCUGAGUCCAAUGAGAAAGAGACAGUAUAAUAACCCUGAGGACCAAUCUGUUCAAUUCAAUCCAGCAAUGAAUCUACUUGGCAGCCAAGACCAGUUGAAAAAAGGAGCAAAAUAUCCAUUGGCUAUUGUUUGUCCUUAGUUUUCCAAGAGGACCGAUGACAUUACUAGUGAUGUCUUGACUUUCUCAUGAGUUGGAUUUAAAUGAAGCACAAAGUCAUCAAGCUCACUCUCUCUUCCCAAGUCAUCCAAGUCAUCCAAGACCAAUGGCAGGACCCAAAAUCAAGACCACUGGCGAUGACCCAGGAUGCAGUGAAUAACCUUGGAGUCCUUGUAUUAAGGGGAAUUUUGGAAGGAAAUAACGAACUGGAGUAAAGAGACAGAGUUGAUGGAAUGAAGGGAACCAGGAAAUGGAGGAGAAGCCCUCAGAAUCUGGGGGUGAGAAUUCUGAGGAAAGUAACUGCCAUCAGGGAGUUGGGUUGAGACUCUAGAGAAGAAAGGUUCUCCAAAAUUCAGCUCUUUCCACCUAUUGACCUCCAACCUGUUCCUAAGAGAAACCAGCCAGUUCCUGAAUAUCUUUUUGAUCCUAUACUCUGAUACUACAUCUGAAGAAGUCUCAAGCAGGCAUUUCAAGCAACUGUGACCUAAACCACUCAGUUUGCCUUGUUCGGCUUUGGCCUCAUCAAGGUGGACUAGGUCACACCCAACACCUGAUUCUGUUAUAAUCUGCAACUUUCUCUACAAACUAUAUUCUACGUGGGCUUAGUCUAGGUUAGUUCAGAUUAGACAGGGAGAAUUAGACAGGGAGGAAGAUAGCAUAGCCUCAGCUUUGCUGAGGACAGAAGUGACUUUAUGCAAAGUCAGAUGACAGGACAAAGGUAGAUUCAAUCAGUAUUAGGGAAACCCCUCAGUCCACCUUACCCUAUCCCAAUCAAUAAUUUAUAAUAAAACCCUGUUAUCAUUUAAGUGGAAUCAUAUUGGUUAUCUACUGGCCUUGGACAGAGAGAAGCCAUUUAGCUCUCUGCAUUGGAGAAGAUCAUUCGCCCUACCCCGAGUUAAGUAAAAUCCCAGUCACUGGUCUAAAUUAUCUUUUAACACUUGAUGUCUGACCAAGCUCUAAGUUCUCCAUGACACCUGCAUCAGCUGCCUUCAUGGUCAUUGAAACAAAUUUUUCUCAUCCCCCUCAACCUGGUUUAGCCAAUCUGCUGAGAUGGUUUUACUAGGGCUGUGGUCACAGUAUGUCACAGGUUCUUGGAGCCACAAGUGAGAGCUGGGUAAGAGGUGGACACCAAAGGUGAAAGAGCAGCCCUGAAAAGGGCUCAUCAAGCCCUUACCCCAGAGGUGCUAGUCCUUUCCAUCAGCUACACCAUAUGCAGAAAUGAACUUGAUGAGGUCUCUAAAAAGGAAGCAGACUCCCAGAGCCAAGAAGCAUGCUUACGCACACCCUGGGUUGGGUGUCAGGAAAGAUUUUAUACCAAACACUUUUAUUUCUUUGUUUUCUUAAUUUAUUUUAAACUCAUCUUCCAUUUUAGAAUCAAUACUAUGAUGCCUGCUUGUGGGCAUAAAUAAUAGAGAGUCUCUUCUCCCCCUUCACUGCGUGUACAGAUAUCUUAUGACUAUUUCCUACAGAUAUGCUGUGUGAGGAUAAAAAAUCUUUUAAUAACUGUGGGGCCAGAAUGGAGUAAGCAUGCAAAAGUAAGUUCAAGUAAACAAUCUUGAAUUCUCUUUCCCAGAAGCUUAGUUCUAAAGUAGAAGAGCAGCAAGGGCUAGACAAUGGAGAAUUAAGUAACUUGCCCAGGGUCACACAUCUAGGAAGUGUCUGAGGUCAUAUUUGAACCCAAGACUUCCCAUCUUUAGGCCAGGCUCUCUAUCCACCAAGCCAUAUCACUACUCCCUACUAAACACUUUAAAUUUGAGCCCACUCUCCUUAGGAGCUACAUAUAUGCAGAAAGAAGACUAUAUUUCCAGUUUGACGGUAGGGGAUCUAUACUUUAUGAUAAUUUCUCAGUUGUCAUUUCAUUUUUGUAAAACUUGCAAGUUGUUUUAGUCAAAUCCAACUUUUUGUAAUCCCAUUUGGGAUUUUCUUGGCCAAGACACACUGGAGUGGUUUGCCAUUUCCUCCAGCUCAUUUUUCUGAUGAGGUAACUGAGACUGACAGGGAUAAAUAACUUGCCCAAGGUCACACAACUAAUACAUGGCCAUGGCCAAAUUUGAACUCAGGAAGAGCAGUCUUCCUCAUUCCAGGUAUUUAUUAAACACCUAAGAUGUCCUGGGCACUGUUCGAGGCCCUGGAGAUAUAAAAGUGAAAAAAUAUAUAUAAUUCCUGCCCUUGUAGAGUUUAUAUUCUUCUGGGAAUUAUUUUCUUCUUUUUCAUUUUAGGGAUAUUUGGUAUGGUCUCAACUUGUUUUAAAUGUCUGCAUUGGCCCUGAAAUACAAGGACAAAUACAUUUGGGAACAAAAGUUCUGCUGUUUCGAGAUGGAAGUGUAUAAGUCUUUUAUGCCUCUCCUCCUUAAAGGGAAUGAGGGAGGAGGUGGAGCUGGCUAAAUAUCUCAUCAGGAUCCAGAAGUGACACCUGUCCUCUUCCUGCCCUCAGACACACACAGACUUGAAGAGACAUCCCUCCAUAGGGGUGGGGUUGAGGGUGAUGAUUUGAGAAUAGGUCAUGCCUAAUGGGAAAAGAAAAAGAGUGCCUGGAUCAGAUUCCAUUGAUGUCAGGAGAAUGUCCUAGGAAGAGUAUGCCGUGUGCUUAAGGAUCCUAGCUUCUCGUGAACAUUCCUUUAUUGAGCACUUGGCUCUUUUGUCUCUACUCAAGGCUAUUCUACAAGACAUACUGGCAUCAGCCCACCUUUGGUUCCUGUAAAUAUAAUGUCUAUGCAGAACUACUUGAACUAUUUCUUUGCUAAUACAACCAAGUAUAUGAACUGGAUGGUAUAAUUUACUGAUGAAAAUUAGAACGGAAGAUCAUGAUUUUUUAAAAAUCAAGCAGAGAAAACUCUGAAGCAACAGGAAAAGCACUUCCACUUUUGAUGAGGGAAAUUAUCAUCAGCCAAAAGAACAAGAAGAAUGGACCAAAUAUCACCUGGGAUGCUGGUUAAACCUGUUCUUCUACUGCAUUUUUCACCUGCCUUAGACACUGGUUGGAAGGUACAGUUGUUCCCUCCUCUGGGAGCAGAGCCAGCCUCUGCCUUACAAUCCUUUCUGUUUUAGCCGAGUCAAGUAUGGAUCUCAGUGAACCCAUCCCUAGGCCAAACAGGAAUUGAUCCGGGUGGAGAGGGCAUUGGUCCAAGGAAAGGACAAGGAAAAAAAAUUGCUAUGUCUGAAUAAGUUGAGCUAAUUCUUAGGGAAUUAUAUCAAGCAUUAUAUUCAUGUCAUCAAGAAAGCACCCUGGCAAGAUUAUUAUUAUCCACUAAUCAUUCAGAAAAUGUUGAUGAGCAGGCAGACAGUUUAAGAGGUGAUCAGUUGAAUUUGGAAUAAUAAAAGGAAAAUUUUGCAAGCCUAAGUGAUGCCCUUCGAGCUGGCAAAGAACGGAAAGAAAAGACUUAUGAAAAAGAUUUCCUUUUCCUUGAAUCUUAGCUAAAAUCCCAUCUUCUCCCAGAGACCUUUCCCAAUCUCUCCUCAAUGUUAAUACCUUUCCUCUAUUGAUUAUCUCCAAUUUAUCUUGUUUAUUUAAAAAAAUUAAGUCCUUACCUUCUGUCUUAGAAUCUAUAUAAGUAUCAGUUUUAGGGCAAAAGAAUGAUAACGGCUAGGAGAUUGGGGCUGAGUGACUUGACCAGGGUCACACAGCCAGGAGGUAUCUGAGAUCAGAUUGGAAUCCAGGACCUCAUCUUGUAUACCUCUUGUCUAUUUGGAGUUAUUUGUAUGUUUCUAUGUGCAUAAAUGCUUAUUAAAUGCUUUUUCAUUCAUUCAUGAAUUUGCUCAGUCAUUCAUGAUUUUAUUCCCUCUUUAGAAUGCAAGUUCCUUGAGGACAAGAAUUGCUUCAUUUUUCCCUUUGUAUGUCCACUAUCCAUUAGAUCUUGAGCUUCUUGAGAGUAUGGGCUAUCUUUUACAUUUCUUAACAUUUCUCACCUUUAACAUAGUGCCAGAUAAAUAAUUGGUGCUUAAUAAAUAGACUUUGAACAACUGAUUGUGGAGUUAACAUGGGGGCAGAUUUGAUCAAAAAACAAUUCUGCCAACUCAUGUAGAGGAGGAACAACUAUCUGCUAGGUAAGGUCAACCAGUGUGGGACAGAAGAAAAAACCAUGAGGUCAGUCUUUGGUGUUCUACUUCCUUUUUUUUUUUCUUCCUACCCUUUUGGUGCCCUUUAUCCCAUGCAUAAUCAGCCUUCCAGUGUUCAUAUGCUCCCUAAUUUUUUCUUAGACCUGAUACUACAUAUUGGUUCCAAGGCAGAAGAGCAGUAAAAGUGAGAGAAAUUGGGUUUAAAUGACUUGUCCAGUCACCCAGCUAGGCAGUGUCUAAUGCUACAUUUGAACCCAGGACUUUCCAUCUCCAGACCUGACUCUCUAUCCACUGAGCCAACUAGCUUCCCUUUUGCUGCCCAAUCUUUUACCAGUAUCUAGUUGAGUGCUUUGAACAAAGUGGAUGUGUUUUUGAAUGAAUGUUUGAAAGAGGGGGCAGCUAGGUGGCUCAGUGCAUUGAGAGCCAGCCAAGCCUAGAGAUAGAAGGUCCUGGAUUCAAAUAAAGCCUCAGACACUUCUAAACUGUGUGACCCAAGGCAAGUCACAACCCCCAGUGCUUGGCCCUUACCGCUCUUCUGCCUUAGAACCAAAACCCAGUAUUGAUUCUAAGAUGGAAGGUAAAAUAAAAUUUAAAAAUAAAAAAAAUCUUUCAAAUAUGACCUCAGAUACUUCUCAGCUGUGUGACCCUGGGCAAGUCAUUUAACCCCUAUUUCGUAGUCCUUAGCAUCCUUCUGCCUUAGAUCCAAUACCCACUGUUGAUUCUAAGAUGGAAGGUAAGAGUUUUUAUUAAAAAAAAAUGAAUGUAUGAAAGACCCUUACAUCUGACUAAUUUACAUUAAAAUGCUAAAAACUAAAUAUGUUACUCUAAUUGAUGUUUGUCCAAGUGCAUAAUAAUAAAACAAAGAAAUGUAAAAAAUAAAAUGUAGGUUAUUCUUUCCAAGAAUAUUUAGAUUUUGAAAUAAGAACUUUGGGAGAAAAAGUUGAACGAAUUAAAAGAUCAUUUUGGAAAAUUGUGGAAGAAAUUUUUGUUGACUGACCCCAAAGGACCUUUCCCCCAACCAUUUGUCACUGUAUAAAAAGAACUCUUCUCAUCAAAACAACUCUGAGGUAUCACUUCACAGCUAGCAGAUUGACUAACAUGACAGCAACAGAAAGUAAUGAAUGCUGGAGGGGAUGUGGCAAAGUUGGGACAUUAAUGCACAGCUGGUGGAGUUGUGAAUUGAUCCAACCAUUCUGGAGGGCAAUUUGGAACUAUGCCCAAAGGGCGAUAAAAGACUGUCUGUCCUUUGAUCCAGCCAUAGCACUGCUGGGUUUGUACCCCAAAGAGACAAUAAGGAAAAAGACUUAUACAAGAAUAUUCAUAGCUGCACUCUUUGUGGUGGCCAAAAAUUGGAAAACGAGGGGAUGCCCGUCAAUUGGGGAAUGGCUGAACACAUUGUGGUAUAUGUUGGUGAUGGAAUACUAUUGUGCUCAAAGGAACAAAGAACUGAAGGGAUUCCAUGUGAACUGGAAUGACCUCCAGGAAGUGAUGCAGAGCGAGAGGAGCAGAACCAGGAGAACAUUGUACACAGAGACUGAUACAGUGUGGCACAAUCAAAUAUAAUAGACUUCACCAUUAGUUGCAAUGUAGUGAUCCUAAACAACCUGGAGGGAUCUACAAGAAAGAACACUAUCCACAUUCAGAGGAAAAACUGUGAGAGUAGAAACACAGAAGAAAAACAACUCCUUGACUACAUGCCUCGAGAGGGAUAUGGUUGGGGAUGUAGACUCUAAAUGAACAUCCUAGUGCAAACAUCAACAACAUGGAAAUAGGUUCUGAUCAAGGACACAAGUAAUACCCAGUGGAAAUUGCCUGUGGGCUGCGGGAAGGGUGAGGGGAGGGGAGGGAGGGAAAAAAAUAUGAUUCUUGUA
This is a non-coding RNA of Monodelphis domestica (gray short-tailed opossum), 9207 nucleotides long. The record is from RefSeq and is a predicted model, not a curated record. Lineage: Eukaryota; Metazoa; Chordata; Mammalia; Didelphimorphia; Didelphidae.